RNAcentral lists this ribosomal RNA (446 nucleotides) under uncultured bacterium. Its description in RNAcentral is "SSU rRNA". It matches the Rfam family "Bacterial small subunit ribosomal RNA", at positions 26 to 518 of the family's 1533-position model. The record is from RNAcentral.
AGAGCGAACGCUGGCGGCAGGCCUAACACAUGCAAGUCGAGCGCCCGUAGCAAUACGGGAGCGGCAGACGGGAUAGUAACACGUGGGAACGCGCCCUUCGGUUCGGAAUAACUCAGGGAAACUUGAGCUAAUACCGAAUACGCCCUUACGGGGAAAGAUUUAUUGCCGAAGGAACGGCCCGCGUCCGAUUAGCUAGUUGGUGAGGUAAUGGCUCACCAAGGCUACGAUCGGUAGCUGGUCUGAGAGGAUGACCAGCAUCACUGGGACUGAGACACGGCCCAGACUCCUACGGGAGGCAGCAGUGGGGAAUAUUGGACAAUGGGCGAAAGCCUGAUCCAGCCAUGCCGCGUGGAUGAUGAAGGCCUUAGGGUUGUAAAGUCCUUUUAACGGGGAGAUAAUGACGGUACCCGUAGAAUAAGCCCGGCUAACUUCGUGCCAGCAGCCGC